Molecule: ribosomal RNA, 253 nt
Filed under: uncultured bacterium
Lineage: Bacteria
Description: partial 16S ribosomal RNA
Rfam family: Bacterial small subunit ribosomal RNA
Source: RNAcentral
UACAGAGGAUGCAAGCGUUAUCCGGAAUGAUUGGGCGUAAAGCGUCUGUAGGUGGCUUUUUAAGUCCGCCGUCAAAUCCCAGGGCUCAACUCUGGACAGGCGGUGGAAACUACCAAGCUGGAGUACGGUAGGGGCAGAGGGAAUUUCCGGUGUAGCGGUGGAAUGCGUAGAGAUCGGGAAGAACAUCAGUGGCGAAGGCGGUCUGCUGGGCCGUUGCUGACGCUGAGGCGCGACAGCGUGGGGAGCAAACAGG